This 841-nucleotide ribosomal RNA is filed under the name uncultured delta proteobacterium. RNAcentral's name for it is "bacterial SSU rRNA". It matches the Rfam family "Bacterial small subunit ribosomal RNA", at positions 58 to 879 of the family's 1533-position model. The record is from RNAcentral. Lineage: Bacteria; Deltaproteobacteria.
CAAGUCGUGCGAGAAAGGGCUUCGGCCCCGGUACAGCGGCGCACGGGUGAGUAACACGUAGGUAAUCUCCCCUCGAAUGGUGGAUAACCCUCCGAAAGGAGAGCUAAUACAGCAUAAGACCACGACCUCGUUGAGGUUGCGGCCAAAGCAGGCCUCUACUUGUAAGCUUGCGUUUGAGGAUGAGCCUGCGGCCCAUCAGCUAGUUGGUAAGGUAACGGCUUACCAAGGCGAAGACGGGUAGCUGGUCUGAGAGGAUGAACAGCCACACUGGAACUGAGACACGGUCCAGACUCCUACGGGAGGCAGCAGUAGGGAAUCUUGCGCAAUGGGCGAAAGCCUGACGCAGCGACGCCGCGUGAGCGAUGAAGGCCUUCGGGUUGUAAAGCUCUGUGGGGAGGGAAGAAUAAGAGCUGGCUAAUACCUUGCUCGAUGACGGUACCUCCUUAGCAAGCACCGGCUAACUCUGUGCCAGCAGCCGCGGUAAGACAGAGGGUGCAAACGUUGUUCGGAAUUACUGGGCGUAAAGCGCGUGUAGGCGGCUAUGUAAGUCGGGCGUGAAAUCCCACGGCUCAACCGUGGAAGUGCACCCGAAACUGCGUAGCUAGAGUCCUGGAGAGGAAGGUGGAAUGCUUGGUGUAGAGGUGAAAUUCGUAGAUAUCAAGCGGAACACCGGUGGCGAAGGCGGCCUUCUGGACAGUGACUGACGCUGAGACGCGAAAGCGUGGGGAGCAAACAGGAUUAGAUACCCUGGUAGUCCACGCCGUAAACGAUGAGUGCUAGGUGUCACGGGCUUUGACCCUCGUGGUGCCGAAGCUAACGCGUUAAGCACUCCGCCUGGGGA